GACCAGAGCCAGCGCAAGCUCUUCAUCCGCGGCCUCGGCAUGGAGACCACCACUGACGCCGUUCGCUCCCUCUUCUCUACGUACGGCGAGAUUGAGGAGGCCGCUGUUAUUGUUGACAGGGCCACCGGGAAGAGCAAGGGUUACGGGUUCAUCACCUUCCGCCAUAUCGACGGUGCCCUCCGUGCCCUAAAAGAGCCAUCCAAGAAGAUCGAUGGCCGGAUGACGGUCACCCAGCUUGCUGCUGCCGGUAACUCCGGGUCCGGCGCUGCUCCGUCCGCCGAUGUCUCUCUCCGCAAGAUCUAUGUGGCGAACGUCCCCGCUGACAUGCCAUCUGACCGACUCCUUGCCCAUUUCUCCUCUUACGGUGAGAUCGAGGAGGGCCCUCUUGGGUUCGACAAGCAGACGGGGAAAUUCCGGGGCUUCGCCCUCUUCGUCUACAUGACAGUGGAGGGGGCAAAAAAUUCCCUCGUGGAUCCCAACAAGAACAUCGAUGGGCAUAACUUGGUCUGCAAGCUUGCAAUAGAGGGUAAGAAGGGGAAGCCAGGUGCCCCUGCACCAGGUGCUGCCCCCAUGGGCGGUGUCCCCGGCCAGCCCAUGGGUGGUGGUGCCGAUAUGGGUCCAGAUGGGCUUGGAUUGGGUGCACAGUCCUCAUUACCAAGUUCUCUCUCUAGCCAGUAUGGUGGUCCAGGUAGCGGUCUCGGUUCAUAUGGUGGUUACUCUGGAAGUGCGCUGCCGGGUGCUGCUGGACUGAGUCACCAUCAUAAUAUGAACUCUUCCUUGCCAUCAUCCAUGGGUCCUGGCACUCCAGGUCUGUCAUCGGUUGGCAGUCAGGUGCCUUCAUCGCUUGGUGGUGCUGUAGCUGGAGGAUAUGGAGGGGGUUUGGGUGGCCCUCUUGGGUCUUCUCAGUAUGGUGGCCCUGGCUCCGGUGGAUACGGAGGUUAUGGCAUGGGCUCAUCACUUUAUCGUAUGCCUCCAAGCUCAGUUGGGAUGCCUUCAGGUGGUUAUCCGGAGGGUGGACAUUAUCCUCUGUCAUCAUCAGCAUACCAGGGCCAGCAUCACCAGCCAGCAGGAUCCUCUCCUGGGCAGAGGGUUCCAGGUGGAGGGUUAUAUCCUAAUGUGCCACCUUAUUACUAAGGUAAUAUAUUUGCUUCAAAAAUGGCCUUUGUGUUUUCCUGUUUUAGAUUUCAGUUUAUGUUUUAUCAGCUUUUGUUAUUUUUCUUGGCAUUAUUUCCUUUGAUAUUUACCAUUGCUGUUAUUAGCGUUAGGUCAUGGUUUCUUAGUGUGUGGUCUCUAUAUCCUAUAAAGUCGAAUAUGUUGUAUUUAGAUAUAUUGGUCAAUAUUAUUAUGCUAACAGGUCAUUAUGGUCCACUAUGGUCAAUAUUAGAGCAUCUUUAAUGGCCCUUUAGAAUGGGUUUGUAAAUUACAGGCUCAAAUGAUCGAUCACUAAGUUCAUAAUAUCAAUAUGCUUAGGUCACCAAAGAAUCCGGCAAUGGAAUGUUUGGAGGUAUCUGUGUUGAUGCAAAACUGGUUGAGGAUUUUGGACUGCUUCUAGUUGGAGAUAGUUUAUGAUUAGUCUCACUUAAAUUUUAAAGGACUGUAGACUAAAUUUCAGUUGGAAGGCUGUGUUAUCCCUUAUUUGUGAUGAAAUGAACGACAGACUUUUGAUAAUUUAGACUUGAACAUCUUGGGUCAUACUGUUACUGUUUUUUCUACACAAUUUAUUUUAUGAGUAGGUGACUACAGUUAUAUGUCGGAUGCGUGAUUAUUUGCCAUUGUCCCUUUAAUGGUUAUGUGAUAUUGUUCGAUCACAGGUUUGGUCUGAUUGAAUCAUGGCUUAUAUUAUUUUUUGUUCCAUUUCUUGAUUUUUGUGUCAAAAAGUUUGUCUUAUUUUGCUAAGAUAAUUAAACCAUAGAUUCUGUUAAGCAUUCUGUAUGGUCCCAGGAAGUAACAUUCUUUUGCUGGUUUUUAUUUCAUUUAAUGUUGAUAACAUCUUCGGUAAUAUGCCUGUGGUUUUUGAUAUAUUGUUAGAAACUAGGUUCUUUUUCAACAUGAAGAUUCUUCAUGAUUUCAUACAUCUUUUAACAAAUAUAAUUAGUAAACUUCUAUCACUUACGGAAAAUUUAUCAGUGUCAAUGGUUUGUUAGUUGUUUUUGGCUUAAGAGCAUUGUAGUAGGGAUUCGAUGGGUUCUGCUUGUUCUGACUUAGCUUUUAAUCUUGAUUUUUUUGUAAUUUCUUUGUUGAUCAAUGUAUUCUCCUGUUAUAAAAGUAAAUAUUGUCUUGUCCAUCAAGUGAGAUAUUAGUCUAAAUUUAAUUGUGUUAAUUGUGAUCCUUUGGUAUUUGUUGGCCUCAUAUAACUUUAUCCUUUUGUUUUUAUGUUCAUGUGCUGGUUAUCUUUUUCUCUGUGUUGUCGCUGUCACCUGCAUUUCUUAUUUUCCAUUUAAUUUUCCAUAUUUGUUGGUCUAUGUGGACAUCUUCCUUUCUACCUACUGAAUUUAAUUUAUUUCUAGUUGUUGAAAAACACUUUCUUGCUUGUGUGCUUGAGUAUGUUGGUCAUAUAGCUUUCUUGUUUUCGUAGUUAAUGAAAUUAUGUAGAUUGCAGUGAAUCUUGCUGUUGAUUCUUGACAGUUCUGUCUUGUUGCUUCUGGCUUUCUUUGUGGUUAUGUUGCUCACAUAUAUUGUAAUAGCAAGGCUGAUUUUGCUUGCUUAUUAAGUUUUUUGUUGUUGCAGAAAAGGUAAAAUUUGAUACUCUUUCUUUAUUGGAGUUGGAAGCCAUAGUUGCCUAAAACUUUGCUGCAUGGCAGGCUUUUAUGUUCUUUGUGCUGCAAAAAUUUCUACGUCUAUUACAACUUUAUAUGGGGAUUGUGAAUUUCAAUAUAGAAUGUUGUCUGACUAGUUUGACUAUGGUGCAAUGGAUCACAGGUCUAUGAAUCAUCAAAUACUAAAUAGUUCUUUGUUAUUUAUAGUUUAUCUUUGCACAUAUUUGUUGCAUUACAUGGAAUAAUCAUAUUGUUUUUGUUCUUGAUGAUUCAUAUAUUUUGCAUUUGCAUCUAUGCAGCUCUAUUUAUUGUUGUUUUAUUUCCAGAAAGUGGUUUAGAAUAGGUGUACUUUACAAAGUAAAUGCCUUUGUAUGAAAAAUAAAGAUUGUUUGUAGUGUUGAAAUGAACAUAUAAGUAUAUUUAAUAUUUGGAUAUACAAACUGAAAUUUUGGCUAUUUUAAAUUAUUUUCGUAAUGUUUUAUGCAUUCUAUCUAUUGACAAUGCUAAUUGUUGUCAUUUUAUCAUUUAUGUCCACAAGUGAAUCAUAUCAAAAUUCUAUAAAAGGUGUUUGUUUUUCUUCAGAUUUUCUAGUUUUUUUCUGUUUACAUGAUAAUCAUCCAUCAAUCUUUUGUCCUUGGGUAUUUUUGGGAAGUUUUAAUACCUUAGCUUUUACAACAUAAAAUCUUGGCUUAAUAAAAGUAUAGCUUAAACGAGUUUAUAGACUGCAGUAUACAUUCUUAUAAGAUGUGCUUCAUCCAAACUAAAAAUAGUGCUGUGCUUGUUCUGUUGUGCAUGUUUCCAUUGUAUGUAACAUGAUAAUGUUCUAUGCUGCGCCUUGUUCAUGUGAUUUCAUUGAUUGAGUAGGUACUAGAGGUGAUUAAAUUGUCAACUGUUAGUAAACAGCUUAGUUUAUCACUGUUAUCAUAUAGAUUUUGUUACCUUAGGCUGUAUGUGAUUUUCUUGUUUGGCUUUGUUCAUUUGUAGACUUUGACGAUUGGUUUCCAAAUGCGCAUGUCUUGAACUCUUGUGGUUUAUGUUGCUCUCUUGAUUGCAUUAUGCAUUAUUUAAUAUCUUCAGAGUACUUGUGCAAUAGCAUUUUGUAUUUUAAUUAAGUUGGCAGGGUAUCAUGUUGUUCUCGUGUUAGAAAUUUAUUUACACCUGUUAUAAUUUGUGUUAUGGCCUUUUGUAUGAUCCCCAAAAGUUGAGAAAUCUUGAGAGAAUGGUGUUUUCUGCAUUUAUAAAUUGGGUUGAACGUUUUGGUGUUUGUUAUUGUGCAUAUGUAACAUUCUUGUGUGGUCGCUGGCAUAUGGAUGUGCCAAGUCUUGGUCAAGAACAUCAGUUUUGUCCUGAGUUUUUGGUUUGUUUCUUUGUGGCUAUGCAAGCUCAUGUAGUGUUUGAAUAUCACAAGGUGUGUUUUGAAAAUGUGGAUAAAUAUGUAUAUAUAUUUUCCUUAUGUGUGGCUUACGAAGCCAUUAUUGGUUUGGAUGUUGUUGUUUAAUGUUCAGAUAAUUGAUACAUUAAGAUGUGAUAGUAUUUGUUUAAGUCUUUUAGUUAGCAUGGGUUCAUAUUAUGUCUAUUUUUUCCAUAAAUAUUAAUUUUAAAGCUGCUAAAUUGCAUUACUUUGUUGCAUAACUCUUAUUACUAUUGCGAGUUCUGUAGCCUGACUCUGAUAUGACUGAUAAUUCGUAUCCAUGAUGUCUGUCUUUGUAUUAUUGUUUGAUGGUAAUUGUGUGAUUCAGGUAUAUGGCAACUUUGGAGGAAAUGCUUUGAAUGGUAGUGCUGAAUUCAGGUUGUUAUCUGUUUUGAUGAAUGGCUUGCAAACUUUUGUGGCUACUUCUCUGCUUCUCUGCUCUGGAAUGUAGCUGUUGAGAUAUAGUUGCUCUACCCUAGGUUUUUAUUGCUUUAGAAGCUCCAUGAACUUUAGAGUGGUAUAAUUGUCUCUGUAUGUAAUACUUUCCUGGAUGGGACUUGUCUCUUAUCUUUGCUUGAAUUGUUAAAUUACUAUCCUACUGAACACACUUGCCUUUUUGGCUUGCUUUUUUAUUGUGGCUAUGCAACCUCAUUGUCGCAUGACUUGCAUUCAUCAUUUGAUUGGCUGUGUUAAAAUUCCUUGAUUCCCUGUGUUUGAUUCAAUGUGUAAUGCAUUUCUUUUGAUUAAUUCUUGUUCUUGUACUCAUAGUGGGUUCUCUUCACUGUUUGAAUGUAUCGUCCUGCUCAGGCAUUGACUUCUGAUUCUGAAUUGGUGGAUUGUGCCUCAAGUUUGAAGUGUCAUUCACACAGUGUGUGGUUGCAAAAUAGCUGUCUAAAGCGUCAUUUCUCAUGAUCAUGCCUAUGUAAGCUGCCAUGCUAAUUCUUCUUAGUGAUAGAAGAUUUUGUGGAAUCAUCUUCUGUUUGCUAGAUGUGUGGUCAUCCUUCUGUCAGUUCCCUUCCUGUUAGUGAUGUUAGAACUCUAAUUGUUGACCUGUUAAAAUAUAGCCUUUUGAUAAGAAACACAUGAGCCAUGCAAUCUGCAUCUGCCAAGAGUUGAUUUAAUUUUAUAUAAACGAUAACUUUUUAGCCAUCUCCAUCUCUGUGCGCUUCUAUUUAAAUUCUGUCUCAGGUUGUUGAUGAGUUUGAUUUGUGGCUCAAUAAAUAUUUACUAAAAGCAAAGUAUCUCAUGUUGUCCCAACAAGUUGAUUGGAACAUAUAUGAUUCUUUAAUAUCUUGUGCCUUUCUUUUAUAUUAAUCUUGGUUUUGGAAUUAAUGACAAUAUAUGUGCUUGGAAAAUUUGGAAACUAGGUUGCGAGUGCAAUGUUUUUUUUUCAGUGUUCAAACAAAGCUAGCUGUGCCUGAUGGGGUCUGUACUUUGUUUUGCUGGAACUUACCUUCAAGAGAUAGAUAAGUUGUAUUUAGGUUGUUUUCUCAGAUCUCGCUUCUGCUAGAAGUGAAGCCUUAAUGUUUUAUGAACGGUUCUGAAUUGUUCAUCAAAAAAAUCAACAGUCAUGAUAUAAAAUCAUGAAUAUAGUGUGAGAGAAGAAGCGAGAUGUUGAUCUUUUUUUGUCUAGAUAGAAUUACGGACUGUUUUUGUCGUCUGAUUUUAUAAGUCUUUGCUGAAACUAAUAAUGUUGUAGAUGAAUACAAUUGUUAGUAUAAUAAUGUGAUUGAUGUUCUCUUUGGAAAACCGAAGCUGUCGAAGUUUACUGUGGCAUCUUUCUUUCUUAAAGUGCUGAUUAAUUGUGAUACUUUUUAGUCUUUUUUUAUAAGCUAAAUUCUUAUCCUGCUUGCUUUUCCUAAGCGCCGUAGUUCACAUUCAUUUGGGUCCCCCCCUUUGGGCAAGCUUAGUUUGUUGGAUGACGUUUGCAUAUGCCUCCUGAUUUCGUUGCUAGCCCCAUCGAUAAAAUAUGUACCAAAUGGGUGAAGUGUGGCCACCUCCUCUGCCAACACCUCCUAUGUUGCCAAUGUUGGGGUGUCGAAGGUGGCAGAGGGAGGGAUUCGUGUGUGGAGUGCAUGUGGCACUUUCCAUUGUCUUAUCAAUCUCCAACGUGUAUGACGUAUUGAUGAGAUUGAGAAUCGCAUUAUGCAUCUUUUCAUCGAGUCCUAUUCUCCUUUUUAUCUCGCACGUCGUCGACCUUGUGCGCCACUGUCAUUAUCGGUGAUCUAUCCUCCAUAGGGGAGGAAAACAUAUUUUUUUAUAAAAGUAUAUUUUUAUCUUUUUUUAUUCAUGAUAAAAGCAACAAUAAAUGUUUCCUAUAUUUGAAUCAUAAUAUUACUUUUAAAAGUAUGGAGAUUGAGAUGUUAAUCUAAAGUAAUAUCAAGGGUACUAUGUAAUUACAAGUUCAGAGAAAAAUAUUUUUAUUCUCGUUCCAACCAUUAAAAUUUUCCUCUAACGUAUCAUAGUGCUAAUUACAUAUAAUUAGUCCUGUUUAGUAUUUUGAUUCUAACAUUUUCUUUAUACUUAGUGCUACUUACAAAAUAAAUCAUUUAAAUCCUUAUAUAUGAUUAAAACGAUAAUUUUAUUAUAUUAAAAUUUUAAAAAUAAUGUAUUAAAUCUUUUUAUUUUCAUAAAUAUAAAGAUCAUAAACAAACUUUUUAAAAUAUAAUGAGAUAUUAAAGAUAUCUAAUUAUAAACGGUUAUAUAUAAUUAGCUUUAUAUCAAACAAAACAUCAUAUUUCAAUUUAUGUUGUCCUUUCACAGCGUUAGAUGAAAUAUUUUAUUAUUUAGCAAAAUGUAACCAAAAAAAUGAUAAGAGAAUAUAAUAAAGUUUUUUUGGAUUCAUGAAAUUGGGUAAAUUUAAAAACAAAGAAUCUGUAUAUGGUAAUACCUUGUUUGUAAAGAAAUAAAACCAUGAAAUUAAUAUUUGAUUAUUUUACAAAUACCUUAAAGGUUUUGAUGAAGGUUGAUGUAGAGAAAAAAUAUAUAUUUUUAUAUAUGAUUGUUCUCCAAGUUUCAUUUGAUCUAUGAAUUUUUGAAUAAUGGUAUCUUCUCGGAGAUAAUGAAUAUGACAAGGUAAACGAUUACAUGCAUUUUAUUUUACAUCGAUAGUUGGGAAAACAUGAGUUAGCAAAAAUAUCUGAUAAACAUGUGAAUUUAAAAUAAAUUAAGAAUUAUUGUUCAUGUUGUUGAAUUGAAUUGAAGAAAAAUAAAAAAAAGAUUAAUUACGUAUUAUUCUUUAUAAUUAGUUAUAUUUAAUAUUUUGAUCUUUAUAUUUUUAAGUAUUAUAUUUAUAUUUUUAUAUUUAUAAAAAUAAAAUAUUUAAACUUAUUUCUUCUCGUGUCAUUGACAACAGAAAUAUUAUGUGUUUCGUUGUAAAUCUAAAUAAGACAAAGUCAACACGUGCUCAUAUUAUCUGUUUCAUUGUAAAUCUAAAUGAGAUAAAGUCAACACGAUCAGUACUAAAUCCUAUGAUAUUUUAGUACUAAACCCUACGAUAUUAGAUUGAUAAAGUUAAUGUUACGAGGAAAAAAGAGAUUAAAUAUUUAAUUUUUAUAAGUAUAAAAUUUUAAUAUAAUUUUUAAAAAUAUAAAAAUAUAUUAAAGAUAGUUAAUUAUAAGGGAUAAUAUAUAAUUAGUUUAAAAAAUUUAUGAAAAUAUGUAAACAAUCAAAAUUUAUUUUUUUAUUCAUUUAAUGAACGAGAGAGUUUUAUUUUUAUUAUUGGGCUCCCUUCGUUGAAGUCCCAAUACGGCCCGCAUCACGCGGCCUCUCCACGCUUAGUAUAAAUAGGCGGAUGCUCGAUCCACAGCCAUAUCCGUCGCUCCCGCUUCCUUCACUUUUUGUCGGGUUAGGGCGCCGUCCGACCCCGCCGCGAGAUCGAUUGAUUGAUGGAUCCGUCCUACAAGAAGCGGAAGGCGGACGAGAACGGCGCCCUCGCCACCGCCAUCCCGGCGGCCGAAUUGACGCCGGAGGAUGGCCGUAAAAUCAUUGACGCCUUCUCCCUCGACCAGCUCCGCGACAUCGUCGCCGCCGCCGUGUCCCGCGGCGAGCCUGGCGUCCUCGCCGACGUCCGCGCUAUCGCCGACCGCGACCAGAGCCAGCGCAAGCUCUUCAUCCGCGGCCUCGGCAUGGAGACCACCACUGACGCCGUUCGCUCCCUCUUCUCUACGUACGGCGAGAUUGAGGAGGCCGCUGUUAUUGUUGACAGGGCCACCGGGAAGAGCAAGGGUUACGGUUUCAUCACCUUCCGCCAUAUCGACGGUGCCCUCCGUGCCCUAAAAGAGCCAUCCAAGAAGAUCGAUGGCCGGAUGACGGUCACCCAGCUUGCUGCCGCCGGUAACUCCGGGUCCGGCGCUGCUCCGUCUGCCGAUGUCUCUCUCCGCAAGAUCUAUG
RNAcentral lists this long non-coding RNA (8559 nucleotides) under Musa acuminata (dwarf banana). RNAcentral describes it as "long non-coding RNA (MACU_LNC002488)". Lineage: Eukaryota; Viridiplantae; Streptophyta; Magnoliopsida; Zingiberales; Musaceae. The record is from RNAcentral.